Molecule: long non-coding RNA, 547 nt
Organism: Tupaia belangeri chinensis (Chinese tree shrew)
Lineage: Eukaryota; Metazoa; Chordata; Mammalia; Scandentia; Tupaiidae
Exons: 3
Source: RefSeq, a predicted model, not a curated record
UGGAAAAGCGUCCAUAGAGAACCUGCCCCAUAGUAAGCACUCAACAAGUGAAAGCUGAGACGACAGUGAUAACAAGAUGGCGGUUUCCACCCUGUGCCCUUGAUGUAUGUGGUCAAAAUGCUGGGCUCAGGGAGCCGCAUCCAGGUGUCUUCUCCCGCACCAUCAGGAUGAAAGGUUACCUGCAGGAACGUGCCUGACAUGUCUGUGUGCAGAACAAUCAAAAUCUAUUGACGUAAACAUUGAUGGAUGAGUAGCUGUCGUAAGAACAUAUACUAUACAAAGAGGAACUUUAUUGUCUUAAAUGACUGUCUCAAACUUAGAUGGUUUAAAUAAAAAGAAGACUUUAUUAAAAUCAAAACACAACACUUAUACUACGUAGUCUAAAGGAUCCUGUAAUGAGCAAAUGGAUUCCUGGGAAUGUAACUAACUAAUCUAUAUGUUAUAACACUGCUAUGAAUUCCGGUGCUGGAGCAAACGUCAGUGAGAGCAGACUGCAUCGGUAAGUGAGCAGCAGCUGAACUCACAGUGACGAUCACAGUCACGUUAG